GAUGAACGCUGGCGGCGUGCCUAAUACAUGCAAGUCGAGCGAACGGACGAGAAGCUUGCUUUUCUGAUGUUAGCGGCGGACGGGGGAGUAAAACGUGGAUAACCUACCUAUAAGACUGGGAUAACUUCGGGAAACCGGAGCUAAUACCGGAUAAUAUUUUGAACCGCAAGGUUCAAAAGUGAAAGACGGUCUUGCUGUCACUUAUAGAUGGAUCCGCGCUGCAUUAGCUAGUUGGUAAGGUAACGGCUUACCAAGGCAACGAUGCAUAGCCGACCUGAGAGGGUGAUCGGCCACACUGGAACUGAGACACGGUCCAGACUCCUACGGGAGGCAGCAGUAGGGAAUCUUCCGCAAUGGGCGAAAGCCUGACGGAGCAACGCCGCGUGAAUGAUGAAGGUCUUCGGAUCGUAAAACUCUGUUAUUAGGGAAGAACAUAUGUGUAAGUAACUGUGCACAUCUUGACGGUACCUAAUCAGAAAGCCACGGCUAACUACGUG
Molecule: ribosomal RNA, 497 nt
Filed under: uncultured bacterium
Lineage: Bacteria
Description: partial 16S ribosomal RNA
Rfam family: Bacterial small subunit ribosomal RNA
Source: RNAcentral